This 2675-nucleotide long non-coding RNA is filed under the name Sus scrofa (pig). RNAcentral's name for it is "lncRNA (ENSSSCG00015017963.1)". The record is from RNAcentral. Lineage: Eukaryota; Metazoa; Chordata; Mammalia; Artiodactyla; Suidae.
AGGGCCACACCCACAGCACAUGGAGGUUCCCAGGCUAGGGGUCGAAUCCGAGCUAGGGCUGCCAGUACUCAUGGCAACGCCAGAUCCUUAACACACUGAGCGAGGCCAGGGAUCGAACUCGCAACCUCAUGGUUCCUACUCAGAUUUGUUUCCGCUGCACCACGACGGGAACUCCCAAAAUGACACCAACUCUUGAAGAUGCAGGGUUACCAUUACAUCAUCCAUUAAUUAGCAGGCUCAGGCCCUUGGGUGGAGGUGAGGUGCUGAGGUCUCAGGGUGACACCCACUGGGAGCCUGCAGGCCUCCUACCAGUGACUCUGGGAAGGUUCCCCCUGCUUCUAACAGGUCCCUGCUCUGAAUCUGCCUGCCAGUUCCAUGUGGUUCUGGGAACUGCCAGAGGCGAGGGCUCUACCCCACUGCUUGUUUUUUCCUUGUGCCUGGCCCCUGGCUGAUGUCAGCUAACACCUGCUGAACGAUACAAACAGAAAACAGCCAGGUGUAAAAACGCCAGCACACAGGGAGGAGGAGAUGCCAAUCAUAGGGUGAGUGAGGACGGGGUCGCUGCGGCGGACUGAGUGGCCACGGUGAUGAGUCAGGCCGCAUGCGUGCUCUGUCGCCCUGCUCCUCGGUCUCUUACACGGCAGAUAGUUUUGCUCCACAGAUAAUAAAACCCAGCAUCAGAGAGACAGAGUGACUUUCUUACAGUCACACAGAUUUCUAGUGACAGAAGCAGGAAUCAUCUAGGUCUGCCUGACUCCAACCCCUUUAAUCAUUUGGAUGACUUCUGUUUUUUUCUCAAGAAAAGAAAAAAGAAUAAAAAACACGUGUUGAAUGAGUGAAUAAAUAAGUGACUAAACGACCAGAAGCUGCAAGAGAUGGGGACGCAUGUGUCUCCCCUGUCUCCUAUUGUCUCCUCAGCAUCCUGACCGGACGGACACACGAUAGAUGCCUGAAACACUAACACAGGAGUUCCCACAGUGGUGCAGCGUAAACAAAUCCGACUAGGAAUCAUGAAGUUGCGGGUUCGAUCCCUGGCCCCGUUCAGUGGGUUAAGGAUCUGGUGUUGCUGGGAGCUGUGGUGCAGGCUGGCAGCUGUAGCUCCAAUGAGAACCUCCAUAUGCCGUGGGUGCAGCCCUAAAAAGACAAAAGACAAAAGACGGAAAAAAAAAAAGAAAGAAAGAAAGAAAGAAAAAAAAAACACUAACAAAGAAAUGCAACCUAACAAAGGAGUAGAGGCCCCAUCACUGCUCCAGAGAAAAGCUCAUGGGCUCUGUGUUUACCAUUGACCUUCAACUCUCCUAGAAGGGCUGCUGUGCUCACAUCUGUCCUUUGGAGGCAAAGAAAUUCCUGUUUUUAGCCACAGGCACAGAAAUCACAAUGGGGAUGAAGGUCGCAGCUUCACCACUAGCCUGGAAGGGCCAAAAGAGCGACCCUACAGCAAAAGCCCGGUUUCCACCACAAAUCCUGUGUCCGUAUUUAGCACUUCACCCGUGACUCAAACCUUCACACCCCCAGCCCUGCCUUUGCACCCCUCAGAGUUAUCUGCACCUCCACUCCUGUCACGUAACACCGAUAUAUUUUAAUCAAUAGUCAAGGAGACAAGAUUAGAUUAAUAGACUAAAACUAUCAACCUAUUAAACAACUCUUAACAGUCUAGAAAUUCAAAAUAAUCUACGAUGCAUAAAUACAUCAUUAGUUUGAGAUGAUUCUUAGGCACUUAAUUUUUCUUCGAUGUAUGGUGUCAGUCUCAGUGCUGGGUAAUACUGCAGCUCGGAAAGACAGCAUGCAGACUUAAAUAUGAAAAGUUAAUUCCCUGGUUAAUUAAACCUAAAAUAGAGAAAAGCAGGAGUCUUGAGCAAAUUUUUUUUUUCUUUUUUUCUUUUUUUGUCUUUCUAGGGCUGCGCCCGCGGCCUAUGGAAGUUCCCAGGCUAGGGGUCGAAACGGAGCUGUAGCUGCCAGCCUAUGCCACAGCCACAGCCACACGAGAUCUGAGCCACAUCUGCGACCUACACCCCAGCUCAUGGCCACACGGGAUCCUUAAGCCACUGAAUGAGGCCAGGGAUUGAACCUGAGUCCCCAUGAAUGCUUAGUUGGGUUUGUUACCACUGAGCCAUGAUGAGAACUCCCGGGAACAGCAUCUUAAAUGGAUGCACUGCCUUUAUUUUCCAGGGGGUCCGGCCACGGUACAGUACACAUGAGCUAGCAGAACGCACUGAUCUCUGAAGACCCACCUCGCUGUGUCUCCCCUCACACAACUAUUGGGACCCUGCAGACUCAGGAAAGCUCCCCCACUUAGAAUGCCCUCCACAGGCAGGCGAGGAAAAGGAGGCCACGGAGGAGGCGAUGCCCACUGUCCUGCAUCUUCCAGGGCACCUGUGACCCCAGAGAGCAUGUAACUCAACCAUGAAGACUGAGGCCCUAUCUAGGGUCUCACGCGGGAUGUAUAAAUGGAGGAUAAAUACAUCCCUUCUGCCAUCAAUGCCGUUUCCUGCCGAGACUGUGACUUAGCAACCAGGCCUUUCUCUGAUGCCCUACUCCUCUGGCCAUCGUCUUUGGAAUGAAACAUCAAGGAGCUUCCCAACAGGACCACUCCCCUUCUAUCCUGCCCACCCUGAAAAGUGAUACCCGGAGCUGCCCAGGUGCUUAGCUGCUCGCCACAUUCCAGCAUCACAUCU